Molecule: long non-coding RNA, 203 nt
Filed under: Mytilus galloprovincialis (Mediterranean mussel)
Lineage: Eukaryota; Metazoa; Mollusca; Bivalvia; Mytilida; Mytilidae
Source: RNAcentral
UUUUUUCUAAAUGCCUUCAGAUAUUGGGCUGAUUUUUGGUAUGUGAGUUAACCAUGAUGAGUUACAGGUCAAGUUUAAGUUUAGUUCUGCUCCGCUAAUUUUUGCUGAAAUUACGGGCUUUGGACUUUGAUAAAUUAUUGAAAAUCACAGUUAUACAGAUUUUUUUUCUAUACGCCUCCAGAUUUUGAGCUGAUGUUUGAUAU